This 72-nucleotide transfer RNA is filed under the name Scytalidium sp. Its description in RNAcentral is "tRNA-Thr". It matches the Rfam family "tRNA". Rfam says of the family: Transfer RNA (tRNA) molecules are approximately 80 nucleotides in length. Their secondary structure includes four short double-helical elements and three loops (D, anti-codon, and T loops). The record is from RNAcentral. Lineage: Eukaryota; Fungi; Ascomycota; Leotiomycetes.
GCCCGGUUAGCAUAAAUAGUAAUGUAGCUGUUUUGUAACCAGCUGAAGCAAGUGCAAUACUUGCACUGGGCU